RNAcentral lists this ribosomal RNA (492 nucleotides) under uncultured bacterium. Its description in RNAcentral is "partial 16S ribosomal RNA". It matches the Rfam family "Bacterial small subunit ribosomal RNA", at positions 29 to 507 of the family's 1533-position model. The record is from RNAcentral.
AGUGAACGCUGGCGGUAGGCCUAACACAUGCAAGUCGAACGGCAGCACAGUAAGAGCUUGCUCUUACGGGUGGCGAGUGGCGGACGGGUGAGGAAUACAUCGGAAUCUACUUUUUCGUGGGGGAUAACGUAGGGAAACUUACGCUAAUACCGCAUACGACCUACGGGUGAAAGCAGGGGAUCUUCGGACCUUGCGCGAUUGAAUGAGCCGAUGUCGGAUUAGCUGGUUGGCGGGGUAAAGACCCACCAAGGCGACGAUCCGUAGCUGGUCUGAGAGGAUGAUCGGCCGCCCUGGAACUUAGCCACGGUCCAGGGUCCUACGGGACGCAGCAGUGGGGUAUAUUGGACAAUGGGCGCAAGCCUGAUCCAGCCAUACCGCGUGGGUGAAGAAGGCCUUCGGGUUGUAAAGCCCUUUUGUUGGGAAAGAAAAGCAGCAGGUUAAUACCCCGCUGUUCUGACGGUACCCAAAGAAUAAGCACCGGCUAACUUCGUG